GCAUAUCAAUAAGCGGAGGAAAAGAAACCAACAGGGAUUGCCUUCAGUAACGGCGAGUGAAGCGGCAACAGCUCAAAUUUGAAAUCUGGCCGCAAGGUCCGAGUUGUAAUUUGUAGAGGAUGCUUUUGGCGAGGUGCCUUCCGAGUUCCCUGGAACGGGACGCCAUAGAGGGUGAGAGCCCCGUACGGUAGGACCACCAAGCCUCUGUAAAGCUCCUUCGACGAGUCGAGUAGUUUGGGAAUGCUGCUCUAAAUGGGAGGUGUACGUCUUCUAAAGCUAAAUACCGGCCAGAGACCGAUAGCGCACAAGUAGAGUGAUCGAAAGAUGAAAAGCACUUUGAAAAGAGGGUUAAAAAGUACGUGAAAUUGUUGAAAGGGAAGCAUUCAUGACCAGACUUGGGCUUGGUUGAACAUCCGGCGUUCUCGCCGGUGCACUCUGCCAGUCCAGGCCAGCAUCAGUUUGCCCCGGGGGAUAAAGGCGGCGGGAAUGUGGCUCCCUUCGGGGAGUGUUAUAGCCCGUCGUGUAAUGCCCUGGGGCGGACUGAGGAACGCGCUUCGGCACGGAUGCUGGCGUAAUGGUCAUCAAUGACCCGUCUUGAAACACGGACCAAGGAGUCGUCUUCGUAUGCGAGUGUUCGGGUGUCAAACCCCUACGCGUAAUGAAAGUGAACGUAGGUGAGAGCUUCGGCGCAUCACCGACCGAUCCUGAUGUUCUCGGAUGGAUUUGAGUAAGAGCAUACGGGGCCGGACCCGAAAGAAGGUGAACUAUGCCUGUAUAGGGUGAAGCCAGAGGAAACUCUGGUGGAGGCUCGCAGCGGUUCUGACGUGCAAAUCGAUCGUCAAAUAUGGGCAUGGGGGGCGAAAGACUAAUCGAACCUUCUAGUAGCUGGUUUCCGCGA
RNAcentral lists this ribosomal RNA (898 nucleotides) under Sarocladium kiliense. RNAcentral's name for it is "LSU rRNA". It matches the Rfam family "Eukaryotic large subunit ribosomal RNA", at positions 38 to 963 of the family's 3401-position model. Lineage: Eukaryota; Fungi; Ascomycota; Sordariomycetes; Hypocreales; Sarocladiaceae. The record is from RNAcentral.